GUACUGGCUGGGAAUCCACCGAGCUGUCGCGCCCAGCCCUUCCGGCGCGCGGGAGCUCGCCCGCUGGGCUUCUUUUGGGAUGGAUCCCGGGCGCAGCUGGGGAAAAACCCGUCCGUUGGUAGGGGUGGGGGGCGGAGAGGGAGGGACGCGCCUUCCUACAGGUUGUUUUGCAAGGCUUUAAAGGGAUAUGGGGGGUGGGGAACUGCCCCUCCUGCACACUCACCCAGGCACCUGCUGACGAGGGGGAGGGGUGGCUGGGGUGGCGUCCUUUCCCACCGUCAGGCCGGUUCCAUUAGAGCGCAACCCAGAUCAGACCCGACAAGUCAACCGUCAACCGUCAGCCAGGCGUUCGAUCAAUGGCAAUGAUUUUAUAGCAUCCUUGGGUAUGGUGCCCCAAACCCCAGGGGCCGCAUCUCAAUCCCACUCAACUCUGGACGGACAGGGUCUUCAAUCCUAUAGACAUCGCUCUCGUGGGAGAAGGGGGCAGUGGCCAUGGAUCUUGAGGGUCACUCUCUCAACCAGUCUGAGAGUGUGGGGUGAGAGAGCAUGCAGCUACAACCCUGAAAUCCACCCAAAAGAAUCAUUACCGGGAAAACAAGCUAAAAAUAACCCCAAAGGAAGCAGUGCCAGCUCAGAGGCAGUUCUUUGGAGGUGGGGGGUGUCCAAGAACUGUUCUGUUGCUUCUGGAGUAAUAAAGUCGAAUUCUUAAAUCUGGAAUUGCUUUGGGAAGUCGGCCCUGUCUCCCUGGCCCCACAC
RNAcentral lists this long non-coding RNA (756 nucleotides) under Mustela putorius furo (domestic ferret). RNAcentral describes it as "lncRNA (ENSMPUG00000024410.1)". The record is from RNAcentral. Lineage: Eukaryota; Metazoa; Chordata; Mammalia; Carnivora; Mustelidae.